This 499-nucleotide ribosomal RNA is filed under the name uncultured bacterium. RNAcentral describes it as "partial 16S ribosomal RNA". It matches the Rfam family "Bacterial small subunit ribosomal RNA", at positions 30 to 523 of the family's 1533-position model. The record is from RNAcentral.
AUUGAACGCUGGCGGAAUGCUUUACACAUGCAAGUCGAACGGCAGCACGGGGGCAACCCUGGUGGCGAGUGGCGAACGGGUGAGUAAUACAUCGGAACGUGCCCAGUCGUGGGGGAUACGUAGCGAAAGUUACGCUAAUACCGCAUACGAUCUACGGAUGAAAGCGGGGGACCGUAAGGCCUCGCGCGAUUGGAGCGGCCGAUGUCAGAUUAGGUAGUUGGUGAGGUAAAGGCUCACCAAGACGACGAUCUGUAGCUGGUCUGAGAGGACGACAAGCCACACUGGGACGGAGACACGGCCCAGAAUCCUCCGGGAGGCAGCAGUGGGGAAUUUUGGACAAUGGGCGCAAGCCUGAUCCAGCCAUUCCGCGUGCAGGACGAAGGCCUUCGGGUUGUAAACUGCUUUUGUACGGAACGAAAAGGCUCUGGUUAAUACCUGGGGCUCAUGACGGUACCGUAAGAAUAAGCACCGGCUAACUACGUGCCAGCCGCCGCAGUAA